Molecule: ribosomal RNA, 1465 nt
Filed under: Acropyga myops
Lineage: Eukaryota; Metazoa; Arthropoda; Insecta; Hymenoptera; Formicidae
Description: 16S ribosomal RNA
Source: RNAcentral
UCUAAAGAAAUAUCUUUAUUAUUUAAUUUUAAUUAAAAUUAUAUUAUUGAGAUUAAUAUUAAUUUUAAGUUUUAAUAUUUAAUUAGAAAUAAUUAUUUAAAUUAAUAAAAAGUAAUGUAAAUGAUAAAUUUUCAAAAUAAUUAAAAGUAAUUUUAUUUUAAUGUACCUUUUGUAUCAGGAUUUUUUAAAUAUUAAUUUUUUUAUCUUAAAAUUUUUCGAAUAAAAAAGAGUUAAAUAAUUAUAAAAUUUAAUGUAUAAUGAUUAUUUUUAAUAAUUAUUUAGAAAAGAAAUUUUAGUCAAUUUUUUAGAUAUCUAAUUUUUUUUGAUAUAAAUUAAAUUUAUAUAUAAAUUUUAAUUAUAAUAAUUUUUAAGAUAUUAAUUAUAUUUAAUUUAUAUAAAAAAUUUAUGGGAUAAUCUAUAAAUUAUUAUUAAAAUAAAUUUUUUUUUAAUUUGUUAUAAUAAAUUUAAAAUUAAAAAUAUUUUUAAAAUUAAAAUUUUUUUGAGAUAAUUUAAUAAUUUAUAAUAAAAUAUAAAAUAAAUAUAAAAUUUAAAUUUUAAUUUAAUUUUUUAAAAAAAUAUCUUUAAUAAUAAUGGUAAUUGAAAAAUAAUGAUAAUAAUUAGUAUUAUUUUAAUAAAAAAAAAAUAAUAAAAUUUUUAAUAAUAAUUGAAUAAUAUAUAUUUUAAGAAUUAGGCUAAUAAAAUUUAUUAUUUUAUUAAAUAAUAAUAAAAUUAAAUUCACCUGUUUAAUAAAAACAUGGUUUUAAGAUUUUAUAAUUUAAGAUUUAUUCUGCUCAAUGAUUAUUAAAUUAAAUAGCUGCAGUAUUUUGACUGUACUAAGGUAGCAUAAUCAAUUGUUUUUUAAUUGAAAACUAGAAUGAAGGAAUGAAUGAAAUUUAAACUAUUUUAAUUAUAUAAUAAGAAUUUAUAUUUUAAGUUAAAAUUCUUAAAUAAUAUUAUGGGACGAGAAGACCCUAUAGAAUUUUAUAUAAUUUUGAAAAUAAAUUUUUAAAAUUAUAAAAUUUUAAAAUUAUAUUUUAUUGGGAGAAUAAUUAAAUUUAAUUAAUUUUAUUAAUUUAUAGUAAUAACUUAUUUUUUAAUAAAGAUUUUUUUUUAUUUUAAAUUAUAUUAUAAAAACAUUAAUUAAUGAUCUAAUGAUUAAAUAAUAUAAUUAUUAUAUUAUUUUUAAUUAAAAUUAAUUACCUUAGGGAUAACAGCGUUAUAUUUUUUUUAAGUUCUUAUUGGAAAAAAUGAUUGCGACCUCGAUGUUGAAUUAAAAUAAAAAUUAAAUGAAGAAGUUUAAUUAUUUAGUCUGUUCGACUAUUUAAAUUUUACAUGAUUUGAGUUUAGAUCGGUGUAAGCCAGAUCGGUUUUUAUCUAUAAUUAAUUUAAAUAAUUUUGUACGAAAGGACUUUUUAUUUAAAAUUAUUUUAAAUUAAAGGAAUUAAAUUAAUAAAUAUAAAUUAAU